AGAGUUUGAUCAUGGCUCAGAUUAAACGCUGGCGGCAUGCCUUACACAUGCAAGUCGAACGGCAGCGACGGGGGGCAACCCUGGUGGCGAGUGGCGAACGGGUGAGUAAAGCAUCGGAACGUGCCCUGGAGUGGGGGAUAACGUAGCGAAAGUUACGCUAAUACCGCAUAUUCUGUGAGCAGGAAAGCAGGGGAUCGCAAGACCUUGCGCUCUGGGAGCGGCCGAUGUCGGAUUAGCUAGUUGGUGGGGUAAAGGCCUACCAAGGCGACGAUCCGUAGCGGGUCUGAGAGGAUGAUCCGCCACACUGGGACUGAGACACGGCCCAGACUCCUACGGGAGGCAGCAGUGGGGAAUUUUGGACAAUGGGCGAAAGCCUGAUCCAGCCAUGCCGCGUGAGUGAAGAAGGCCUUCGGGUUGUAAAGCUCUUUCGGCCGGGAAGAAAUCGCAUGGGUUAAUACCCUGUGUGGAUGACGGUACCGGAAUAAGAAGCACCGGCUAACUACGUG
This 506-nucleotide ribosomal RNA is filed under the name uncultured bacterium. RNAcentral's name for it is "bacterial SSU rRNA". It matches the Rfam family "Bacterial small subunit ribosomal RNA", at positions 8 to 507 of the family's 1533-position model. The record is from RNAcentral.